AGGAAAUAUAAAUACAACUUUUCAUAAUUUGGAUUCAACAUUUACACAAUAUGAAACAUCGGUACUCGAAAAUUUAGGAUUGAGAUUAUUUUCAUGUUCAUUUUGUAAAAAAUCAUUUACUCAACAACGUUAUCAGACUCGUCAUGAACUUCAUCAAUGUUUAAUGAAUCCACAAAGUGUUAAAAUGAAAGAACGCAAAUUUCAUACAUGCAGUGCUUGCGGUACAUCUUAUACGCAAAGAAAAAGUUUAAAUUUUCAUAUUCGACACGAUUGUAAUACAAUUCAUAAAUGUGAAAAAUGUGGAUCAACAUUUUUACAAUAUUCUACUCUAAAAGCACAUUUAAAUAGCAAUUGCAGUCAUUUAUAUUAAAAAAAAAAUAUAUAUAUAUAUAUAAUAAAUUGUAAUUAAAUAGAAUUUAAAUUAUUCUCAUGGAGGACAAACUACAAGGAGUUAACAACUGAUGAUAAUGAAGGAGUAAAUGAUUCUUUUUUAAAAUGUUUUUAUUGUUUAAAAAAUUUUGCAAAUGUAAAUAGUCGAAAUCAACAUAUGUUUAAUUGUUAUUCAAAAUCAUUUGAUAAAGAUAAACCGGCAAUGUUUCCUUGCGAACAAUGUCACGCUAGUUAUAUGAGUAAAGGUCGUCUACGACAACAUCAACGUCAUGAUUGUGGACGAAGUCAUAUUUGUCAAUAUUGUAAUCGUAAUUUUUCCGAAAGCAGCAGUUUAAAUAGACAUUUACGUGCUGGUAUUUGCACAAAAUUAUAUUUACAAUUGUAAAUAAUUCUAUGUAUAAAUUGUUAUAUAUAUAUUUUUUUUUGAAUUUUUUCGAAGCAUGAAAUAAGCUUUGAAAUUAUAAUUAGUUUAGAAUUUUCAUUUGACAAAAUUUCUGUUUGACACAAUUUUUAUUUGAAAAAAAAAAUUCUAAUUUACCUAAAUUUUCAUUUAGAAUUAUCAUUUUUAAUGUAAUUUCAAUUAAACGGAAUUUAAAUGACAGAAUUUUCAAUUGUCCGAACAAAAGUUCGGCGGAAUCAUUUUGACGAAAAUUAAAUUAUUAUCAUGAGUGUUUGGUUCUUAUUUUUUUAUAUUUGCCCCAAAAUCAUUCUAUUCGAUUCGAACAAAAUUUUGGUAUUUAAAAAUUCGCAAAAAAAAAGUAUUAGAAUAAUUAAUUUCCAUCAAUUUUGGAAGAUUUAAACACAAUUUAGAAUAGUUAUUUUCGUAUCAAGGGCGCAAAAUAGGUGAUUGUGGCGAAGGCGAGAUUAGAGAAACCAAGGGGACCCGAAGCGCCCGAGGCGAAGCCGAGGGAGCGUAGAGUCGCCGAGGUUUCUUCAUAAUCUCGCCUGAGACACUAUCACCUUUUGCGCCCGUGCUGCGAACAACAUUUUUUGUCCUGUCUGCAUGGAAAGUGUAUUAUUGAGUGCAUGCAAGUCCGCUUGUUUCAAUGUUCCAUCAGGGUUGGGAAGAUAAUAUACUUAAGGUAAAUUACAUGUAGUUGUUUACGUAUAUUAUGUAUGUUUAUUAUGUCACAAAAAAUGAAAACAAUACUUUUUUAAUGGUGCGGGCGCGAAUGUAUUUUGCGCCCGCUUCUAUGACGUCAGCGGGCGCGAAUGUACUUUGCGCCCGCAUCUAUGACGUCAGCGGGCGCGAAUGUACUUUGCGCCCGCUCACCCCAUCUCUGGGCGGGAAUCACUUACUUUGCGACCGCCUCAAGUGCACGAAAUAACACACUUUCCGUGCAGGUAGGACAAAAAAAAUUAUAUUGGAUCAAAAUCUUUUAUAAAAAAAUGAUUUGUUAAUAUUUUGACUUUUUAAAUUGAAUUAAGAAACAAUUAAAUGAUUUUGCCAUUUUUCUUUCAGUUCAGAAGAAAAUUACAAUUUGUAUCCAAUUUUUGUAAACAGUACUUUUAAGGGUGAAGAACCGGUGAAAUUUCAACCCAUCGAAAUUAAUGUUGUUAAAGGCUAUCAAUUUUUUUUUUUUGCAUUAUUUGGCAUCUAAAAUUAUUAUGUAUAACAAAAAAUGUUGUCCAUUUAGAAAUAUUAAAAAUUUUCAAAUUCCAUACGAUUGAUUGUUCAAAACCAUGAAAAAAGCCUCAAAAAAAAUUGUCGAUAAAAAAUAAUAAAAAUUGUGUAAGAAAUUGAAUUUUUAAGAAAUAAUCAUUUAAAUUUAAACGAAACAUAAUUGAUCUUGUUUAGAGGUAACAAUUUUUUUUUUUUUGACAUUUUCUCAUAACCUGAAAUUAUAUUCCACUAUAAAAAAUAAAAAAAACGUAAUUUUUAACAAUUUUUUUUAUUUUACAAAAAUUUUAUUUUUUGAAAAAAUUUUUUUAUUUAAUUAUUAAUGAAGUUUUUUAAUUUUUCAGAGUAUAUUAUAACUUUAAAUAAAUAUUGUCAGAAAAAAAUUUGACAAAUCUAAAUAGCAUUAAUUUCAAUAGAUUGAAAUUUUACCGGUCCCUCCCCUUAACAAAAUUAAAAAAGAAUUAAAAAAAAAUAAUUGUAAAGAAUAUUUGAAGGAGUAAAAUAAACUAUUCCGUCAAGUGGGGCUAUUAUACUCAGCGCCAGUUUUGAAUUAAUAAAGUACCUAAAAAAUGUUAAUUUUAAAAAAUUUUUACCUUUUUUAAUAAAUAUAGAUUUUAGUAAAAUUUCAAUGUUUAACUUUCAAAUUCUGAAUUUUGGUGAAGCACUGAGUAAAAAAAGUAGCGUUUUCUUGAGUAUAAUAGCCCAAAUUGACGGAAUGUAAAAAAGUUCGUUUAAGUAUUAAUUUUUUAAUAUAGAAAUUCGGAAUGGAAUGAUUAUUAAAUAAUAAUUCUAAAAUAAAUUCAAGGUAUAAUAAAUAAUUCAUGGAAAAUGAAAAUUCUAACAAAUUAAUUUUAAGAGCUCAUUCACAAGCUUCUCAUAAUUUUAUAUCGCUUUUGUAAUUGAUUAUAAGAUUUACAUGUAAUAAUUUAAAAUGAUUAUAUUAAUCAUGGAUAUAUUUAUUUACAAUAAAUAACGCGUUUUUACUAUUAUAAUCAUCUACAUUAUAAUAAAAAAUUAUUGUACUCAAUAAAGAAAAAUAAUUCACCUUUGAAA
Molecule: long non-coding RNA, 3064 nt
Organism: Leptopilina boulardi
Lineage: Eukaryota; Metazoa; Arthropoda; Insecta; Hymenoptera; Figitidae
Exons: 2
Source: RefSeq, a predicted model, not a curated record